RNAcentral lists this non-coding RNA (363 nucleotides) under Aspergillus carbonarius ITEM 5010. RNAcentral describes it as "Eukaryotic large subunit ribosomal RNA". It matches the Rfam family "Eukaryotic large subunit ribosomal RNA", at positions 1 to 360 of the family's 3401-position model. Lineage: Eukaryota; Fungi; Ascomycota; Eurotiomycetes; Eurotiales; Aspergillaceae. The record is from Rfam by way of RNAcentral.
UGACCUCGGAUCAGGUAGGGAUACCCGCUGAACUUAAGCAUAUCAAUAAGCGGAGGAAAAGAAACCAACCGGGAUUGCCUCAGUAACGGCGAGUGAAGCGGCAAGAGCUCAAAUUUGAAAGCUGGCUCCUUCGGAGUCCGCAUUGUAAUUUGCAGAGGAUGCUUUGGGUGCGGCCCCCGUCUAAGUGCCCUGGAACGGGCCGUCAGAGAGGGUGAGAAUCCCGUCUUGGGCGGGGUGUCCGUGCCCGUGUAAAGCUCCUUCGACGAGUCGAGUUGUUUGGGAAUGCAGCUCUAAAUGGGUGGUAAAUUUCAUCUAAAGCUAAAUACUGGCCGGAGACCGAUAGCGCACAAGUAGAGUGAUCGG